Molecule: non-coding RNA, 294 nt
Organism: Cinara cedri
Lineage: Eukaryota; Metazoa; Arthropoda; Insecta; Hemiptera; Aphididae
Source: the annotation of a GenBank genome assembly
CCCCUAAUCACCCGGUCUCAAUAUACGAUACAUGAAUGUUUUAUACCUGUGUAAUAUAUGCAUAUAAAUAGUUUUAAAAAAAAAAUCUUUGAAAACGAAAAAGAGGAAUAGGGGAUUGCGGUUGAUCAAAAUUUAAUUUACCAACUCAAUUUUUCUGUAUUUAAUGAGGUGUCAGGACACCAAUAAUUUAAAAAUAGUGUUAAGAUAAUGAUUAUAGACAAUUCCAUACGGAUUCGGGAACAAAAAAACCAGAAAUCAUAAACUGCACGUAUAAUCUAAAUCUAUGAUACUUGU